AUGAACUCGCCGGCAAAGCGGGCUACUAUCUGUGAGAUCGCCAAUAGCUACCGCAUAUCCGUCCUCUGCUUACAGGAUACGAAAAUAGAAAACUGGUCCCCAUCCAUUGUUCGCGAGUUAGGUGGUAGCCGGCUGCAAGGCUGCUUUGUCCUCCCCGCCAUCGACACCAGUAGGGGCAUCGCCAUCCUCUGGGAUGCCAAUGCUCUGGACAUCCGCACGCAUGCCAUAGGCGCGUACUCCAUCAUGGAAAAAGUAGUCCUCUCCUCUGGCGACCGCUCCUCGUCGUUUUGGCUCACCACGGUCUAUGGACCCAUAGACGAUGCAAGGCGGGAAGAUUUCCUGUCUGAGCUAACCAAAGUAGCCCCUCCAAUGGCUGAACCAUGGAUCAUCAACGGCGAUUUCAACACAAUUUACGAGGUGAGAGACAAAAACAACCUAAACCUCAACAGACAAAUCAUGGACAGGUUUAGAGUAGCAAUUGACAGGGCAGGGCUACGCGAGAUAAAGUGCAAGAACAGGAAGUACAGAUGGACAAACGAGCGCCAAAACCCGACAAUGGUCAGUAUCGACAAGCAAGUGACAAGGGCAGGGAUCAUGCAGCCCCUUCUGAAUGGCGUUGCACGACUACGGGUUAGUUUAUAUGCCGACGAUGCCAUCAUUUUCGGAAACCCUAGCUGGGAGGAGGUAGAUAUGCUACUAAAGAUUCUCAAACUCUUCGGAGAUACCACUGGACCAUGCAUCAACCAGCAGAAAUCCUCCGUGAUUCUGAUCCGCUGCGACGAUGUCGACCUCGACCACGUGCUGCUGAAUUUCGGCGGAGGAUGA
Molecule: ribosomal RNA, 825 nt
Filed under: Triticum aestivum (bread wheat)
Lineage: Eukaryota; Viridiplantae; Streptophyta; Magnoliopsida; Poales; Poaceae
Description: partial small subunit ribosomal RNA
Source: RNAcentral